RNAcentral lists this ribosomal RNA (495 nucleotides) under uncultured bacterium. Its description in RNAcentral is "bacterial SSU rRNA". It matches the Rfam family "Bacterial small subunit ribosomal RNA", at positions 97 to 588 of the family's 1533-position model. The record is from RNAcentral.
GGCGAACGGGUGAGUAAUGUAUCGGAACGUGCCCAGUUGUGGGGGAUAACUGCUCGAAAGAGCAGCUAAUACCGCAUACGACCUGAGGGUGAAAGCGGGGGAUCGCAAGACCUCGCGCAAUUGGAGCGGCCGAUAUCAGAUUAGGUAGUUGGUGGGGUAAAGGCUCACCAAGCCGACGAUCUGUAGCUGGUCUGAGAGGACGACCAGCCACACUGGGACUGAGACACGGCCCAGACUCCUACGGGAGGCAGCAGUGGGGAAUUUUGGACAAUGGGCGCAAGCCUGAUCCAGCCAUGCCGCGUGCGGAAAGAAGGCCUUCGGGUUGUAAACCGCUUUUGUCAGGGAAGAAAAGGCUCCUGUUAAUACCGGGGGCUCAUGACGGUACCUGAAGAAUAAGCACCGGCUAACUACGUGCCAGCAGCCGCGGUAAUACGUAGGGUGCAAGCGUUAAUCGGAAUUACUGGGCGUAAAGCGUGCGCAGGCGGUUAUGUAAGA